AGGUCUCAAUCAAAAGCUAUGGAUUAAUCAACAUAUCAUUUCUAUUUGGUAGUUAAAUCUGACUUUAUUGAUACAUAUAUAGACAAAUACCAACACCUAAAAAUUUAAAGAAAAAUACAGAGAAUAUGAACAUGAAUUUCAAAAGCAAAUCGUAAACAUAAUUAUAUUAGAAUGUCCCACAUCUUUGAGCAUUAUAUAAAAGAUGUAGCAAUUCUUAACUCUUGAACUAGCUUUUGGAAUAAGUUAGGCCACAUUCCUAAUAUGGUAUCAGAGAGUCAGGUUGGCCCAACAAAUAAAUUCCCACAAAAAUGGUUUUCCAUCUAUGUGGUCCAUACAAGUGGCAUGUCUUUUUGUAUUUCCGAGAUGUUGGGCUUGGACUGUUUCCCGCUGGACCGUUUUCCACUCACAUCUGGAGUAAGCUUAUUAGAAUGUCCCACAUCGCUUGAGAUUAAAAUUUUUGGACAUUAUAUAAAAAAUGUGGCAAUCUUUAACUUUUGAGAUAACUUGUGGAUUAAGUUAGGUCACAUUCCUAAUAGUAAUAUCACGUACAAACAAAAACCUUAACUCGAAUGGGCAUGUAACAUUGUAUAUGAGCCCAUCAUGUUUCUUCAUCAAGUAACAAAUAUUGACCUUCAAC
This 637-nucleotide small RNA is filed under the name Arabidopsis thaliana (thale cress). Its description in RNAcentral is "ATSL151770". Lineage: Eukaryota; Viridiplantae; Streptophyta; Magnoliopsida; Brassicales; Brassicaceae. The record is from RNAcentral.